This 530-nucleotide unclassified non-coding RNA is filed under the name uncultured Bartonella sp. RNAcentral's name for it is "partial 16S-23S ribosomal RNA intergenic spacer". The stretch from base 103 to 176 matches the Rfam family "tRNA". Lineage: Bacteria; Pseudomonadati; Pseudomonadota; Alphaproteobacteria; Hyphomicrobiales; Bartonellaceae. The record is from RNAcentral.
GAAAGCUCUUUGUUUUUUGAAAGGGUGCUUUUAUGAGAUAGAGCUUUUUUAGAUAAUGCUUUUUUAGAUAAUGCUGGGGAAGGUUUUCCGGUUUAUCUCGGAGGGCUUGUAGCUCAGUUGGUUAGAGCGCGCGCUUGAUAAGCGUGAGGUCGGAGGUUCAAGUCCUCCCAGGCCCACCAAUUUACCUAUCCAUUUGCCUUUAUCUGUUUAUUUGCCGAUUUAUCGGUCCAUUGAAUUUAAGUGUUGGUAGCAGUUUUAUAAUGAUGAGAAAUCAUGCUUAUAAAAGAACUCCUUAUAAAAGGCUUGUUUUUAAAAUGUGACGCUUAUCCAUUUCGCUUAGGUAAGAGAAACUUCAAGCGGUUCAAAUACAAAAGGCUUUAAGUUUUGCAAAACACUUUGAAUUUUGCAAAACACUUUGAAUUUUAAAGUGAUCCAAGUUCGUGAUCUCGAAUUUAAAAGUUUCGAAUGCUUUAUCCUUUUUUGGGGGCCGUAGCUCAGCUGGGAGAGCACCUGCUUUGCAAGCAGGGGGU